Thalassophryne amazonica is the source of this 97-nucleotide long non-coding RNA. RefSeq lists it as uncharacterized. NCBI's taxonomy places the organism in Eukaryota, Metazoa, Chordata, Actinopteri, Batrachoidiformes, Batrachoididae. The transcript is spliced from 3 exons. The record is from RefSeq and is a predicted model, not a curated record.
CAAUCUCCGUCGUUUGGGAUUUAAAAUUUUUAGGAGGUGCAUGUCAGCCUAUGGAGAGGGGCUCUGAGAGGGUAUGCAGCAAUGCAGAGGGCUCAGC